UACAGAGGUGGCGAGCGUUACUCGGAUUUAUUGGGUGUAAAGGGCAGGUAGGCGGCUGCGUAAGUUGGAGGUGAAAUCCUAAGGCUUAACCUUAGAACUGCCUUCAAAACUGCGUAGCUUGAGGCUAAAAGAGGAGAGCGGAAUUCCCGGUGUAAGGGUGAAAUCUGUAGAUAUCGGGAGGAACACCCGUGGCGAAAGCGGCUCUCUGGUUUAGCCCUGACGCUAAGCUGCGAAAGCUAGGGAAG
RNAcentral lists this ribosomal RNA (245 nucleotides) under uncultured bacterium. Its description in RNAcentral is "partial 16S ribosomal RNA". It matches the Rfam family "Bacterial small subunit ribosomal RNA", at positions 524 to 768 of the family's 1533-position model. The record is from RNAcentral.